Molecule: long non-coding RNA, 432 nt
Filed under: Pan troglodytes (chimpanzee)
Lineage: Eukaryota; Metazoa; Chordata; Mammalia; Primates; Hominidae
Description: lincRNA
Source: RNAcentral
CCAGCCAGAAGCAACAUGUAGAUCUAAUGACCUUCUCCAGGAGUCGAGGACUCACUACCUCGCUGAAUUCUCAGAGUCAAAAUGCGUCUCUACCUGCUGGUCCCAGAACAGUCCCCUGCUGCUGCAUUGAAUGAAUCUCAUCUCACUUCCUCGAGUCAGCCCUCCCUGUAUUUGAUGAUCACAAACCUUAUCCUUACGUUGCCAGCAGUAACAUUCUGCAUCCCUCACCCACUCCACUGUGUCCUUUUCCUCCCACUGAUCUUCACUCUGCCUUUUCUAGGGGAACUCUGAACAGUAUUUCUGAGAAGGGUGCUGGCAUCUCUUCAUCCCUAGAGUGAUGCUGCCAUCUCCGUCUUGAAUGUCUCUGCUGACAUGGCCUGCUAAACUUGAACUCAUAGGCGGGACAAUCGCUUGAGCCCAGGAGUUCAAAAC